This is a long non-coding RNA of Leopardus geoffroyi (Geoffroy's cat), 2467 nucleotides long. RefSeq lists it as uncharacterized. The record is from RefSeq and is a predicted model, not a curated record. Lineage: Eukaryota; Metazoa; Chordata; Mammalia; Carnivora; Felidae. The transcript has 2 exons.
CAGCCAGCUAGGGGAGGGGCACGCAAGUGGGAAGGCUAGAUCUAGGGCCCUGCUGCACAGUAAGAGACAAGAUGAGGAAGUUCUCCGGAAUUCUACAAGCAAUAUGCAAAUAGAAACGGUUACAAUGAUAAUCCUUUGCUUUUGCGGCGUCUUACAGUCUGCGUAGAGCUUCCCGUGCGGUAUCUCCUGAUCCUCGAAGCAUCCCUGGGACAAGUAAGGGCAGUUACACCCGAUUUAUAGAUGCGAAAACUGAGGUGCGGACAGCUCAAGUCCCAAAUCACCCAGGUAACAAAGGGGCUGAGCUGACAGAUGUCUCCAGGUCUUCUAACUCCAAAUAGAAUGUUCUGUUUACCACAUCAGGAUGCACCAGCAUUGCCUAAAACCACAGCUUUUAGCUGUGCAGAAAACCUUACUCCUUUUCAAUCCUUCCCUUUCCCCAGAUUUGUUGAUUGACAAAGGAGCUUCCCCAGGCUCUUUGUAACCAGCAGUGUUAGGGGGGUGGGGGGUAGGUGGGCAGAGUCUUUAUCUGGGCUGCAUCGUGGGCUCAGUCUCUGACCCACUCUGGGGCUGUAGGAGAGCUCCCAUCUCCCAAUUUCCUCUAAUUCCUCAUAUCUUUGAUGUUAAAGCCAUGCAGUGACCCUAAUCUAGGCAUUUCCAGGAAAAUGCACUCAGGUUCUUCUAGAAGGGCAGCGGCCCUUUGUGACAACAGGGAUUGCUGGGCGGGGCUGGCCUAUACAGAGAGGGAUCCACUGGCUCCUAGCUCUUUGCAUAUCUUCUCAGUGACCCCUGAUAACUGCAGCUCAGUGUCAGCACAGAGGAACAGCAUGUUACAUGCCCUGCCCACAGCCAUCACACGGCCUGGAAGGGGUCAGGCCCAAGGACCACCCUUGCCUUUUCCUUCACAGCACGGGUGGGAGAGGUGGAGACAGAGGCCCCCACCCCCAAAAGGCUUUAUCGGCACUCCAAGCCACCUCCUGGGCCUCCCAACUUUUCCUUCCCCCCGCCCCCCCAGUGAAUUCUGUGGAACAAAACACAUUCGGUUGAUAGCAGAAAUCAGACUCCCGCUUCUCAGACACCAUCAUCCUACGACAGCAGGGUCUGGGGCAGGGUUGCCUAGAAAUACACCUGUGUGAUUCACACCUGCGGGCAAAACGCCGUCUCUCUACAAGGCCCAUUUACACAAGCAGGUGUUUUAGGCUGACCUAACCCAUCUCAACGCGAACACAAUUAACGACUUGGCUCACCACAGUUUUCUGUUGGAACGUUGUGUGCCCUGUAGACCCUGUUCUCCCUUUCAGAGACCACCGGAUAUGGGAAAACUUGACUUUGCAAUGGGCAAACAAGAAGGUGAUUAAUCACCAGGCUGAAGGACUCACCCGAGACCGAGCUGUCACUCAUCACCCCCAAAUACAAUUACGAUGGCGUUCCUCUUCCCACACGGUUUGCAGAGCGCACGUAUCUAAUGGACUUGGGAACAUGGCUUGAGAGGCACAGCUAUUUCCUGCCUCCUGACUGCAAAUCCAGCACCAAUUCUAACCUGUUAGCCAGUUAGGCCGGCAAAGGAGAAGGCUGGUAUGGGGCAGUACGCUCCCCUCUGUGUUCCACAGAAAUGAAUGGAGAUGGGCCGAGCUAUGGUGAGCCCCCAUGCAUGCUGAUGCCCCCCUAUGUCAUGGGCAUCCAGGCCCCUCUGGCCUCACACCAGCCGGAACGUUCUUGUUGACAAGUCUCAGAGGGCUUGCCCUAUGUCCAUCGUGCCUCCUGCUUCCCCUCUGAUGCAACAGAGGACACCUAGCCUUCACACGGCCCCCCUGCCUCCAGGUAUAUCCAAGUCUAUCUGUCCUGGGUCUCCUGCCCACUGGCGCCUGGAGAGAAGACUGACUUGUAAAUCCGCUCUAAGGGGGCCAAGCAGGGGACACGCAGAUGGCUCCAAGAUUACCUCAGCACAACCUCCUCACGCCAUCCGCCGCCAUCUGCAAUUUGCUGACAAGGCAGAUAAACACCUACACGGAGAAGACCCACAAUAAAUCAAGGUGGCAUUUCAACCCACUGGGGACAAAAUAGACUUUUCAACUAAUUGUGUUGCGACAACUCAGGAAUCCUCGGGAAAAAAAUGUGAACCAUGUGUAGCAAGGAUCUGAACAAGAAAUUAAUAAAGAAGAAACUGUGGAAAGAGCUAGAAGAAAAAUGCAGGAGAAUGUUUGCAUUAAUCUUGAAAUAAGAAGGACUUUCAAAGCAUGACCCAAAUCCAAAUGUCACGUUUUGGUUUUUUUUUAAAGGCUACAUCUGGGUUCAAAAUUUUUAAGUACCUAACACCAGAAAGUAACGUACAUUCAGAAGAUAAAUGAAAAAAUAGGGGGGAAAAUAUUUGCAACAUAUAUGGCAGACAUGGGGCUAAUUUCCUUGCUACAUAAAUAAUGUGCAUGUGCCCAAUAGAGAAAUGUACAAUAAAGAGGAAAUUAAAUUGUCA